Molecule: transfer RNA, 72 nt
Filed under: Capra hircus (goat)
Lineage: Eukaryota; Metazoa; Chordata; Mammalia; Artiodactyla; Bovidae
Also listed under: 1 other name
Rfam family: tRNA
About the family: Transfer RNA (tRNA) molecules are approximately 80 nucleotides in length. Their secondary structure includes four short double-helical elements and three loops (D, anti-codon, and T loops). Further hydrogen bonds mediate the characteristic L-shaped molecular structure. tRNAs have two regions of fundamental functional importance: the anti-codon, which is responsible for specific mRNA codon recognition, and the 3' end, to which the tRNAs corresponding amino acid is attached (by aminoacyl-tRNA synthetases). tRNAs cope with the degeneracy of the genetic code in two manners: having more than one tRNA (with a specific anti-codon) for a particular amino acid; and 'wobble' base-pairing, i.e. permitting non-standard base-pairing at the 3rd anti-codon position.
Source: Rfam by way of RNAcentral
UCCCUGGUGGCUCAAAUGGUAAAGAAUCUGCCUGCAAUGCAGGAGACUCAGGUUCAGUUCCUGGAUGGGGAA